CAGGAUGAACGCUGGCGGCGUGCUUAACACAUGCAAGUCGAACGGAGUUUUAACGGAAGUUUCGGAUGGAAGUUUAAGAACUUAGUGGCGGACGGGUGAGUAACGCGUGGGUAACCUGCCUCAUACAGGGGGAUAACAGUUAGAAAUGACUGCUAACACCGCAUAAUAUAGCGAAACCGCAUGAUUUUGCUAUCAAAUAUUUAUAGGUAUGAGAUGGGCCCGCGUCUGAUUAGCUAGUUGGUGGGGUAAAAGCCUACCAAGGCGACGAUCAGUAGCCGGCUUGAGAGAGUGACCGGCCACAUUGGGACUGAGACACGGCCCAAACUCCUACGGGAGGCAGCAGGUGGGGAAUAUUGGACAAUGGGGGAAACCCUGAUCCAGCGAACCGCCGCGUGAGUGAAGAAGUAUUUCGGUAUGUAAAGCUCUAUCAGCAGGGAAGAUAAUGACAGUACCUGACUAAGAAGCCCCGGCUAACUACGUGCCAGCCGCAGC
This 492-nucleotide ribosomal RNA is filed under the name uncultured bacterium. RNAcentral describes it as "bacterial SSU rRNA". It matches the Rfam family "Bacterial small subunit ribosomal RNA", at positions 25 to 518 of the family's 1533-position model. The record is from RNAcentral.